Molecule: ribosomal RNA, 484 nt
Filed under: uncultured fungus
Lineage: Eukaryota; Fungi
Description: eukaryotic LSU rRNA
Rfam family: 5.8S ribosomal RNA (bases 65-214)
Source: RNAcentral
CGUCCUCAGCUGUAUCUAACAACCUAUUAAAUUUAUCUGAAUUUUUCGUAAUAGAAAUAAAAACAACUUUAGACAACGGAUCUCUUGGCUCUCGCAACGAUGAAGAACGCAGCGAAACGCGAUAUGUAAUGUGAAUUGCAUAAUUCCGUGAAUCAUCAAAUCUUUGAACGCACAUUGCACUCUGUUUACGCAGAGUAUGCCUGUUUGAGAAUCUAUAGUAUUCAUUUCUGGGUAGUUUACCUGGGAGAUUUGCACUGUGUCUAGCUUUUUGCUCUGACUAACGCUAAAUAUAUUACUUGACUGGCAGUAGAUGUUUGACCCUGCUAUGUUACUGAAAGCUAUGAAUGAGACGCAAGUUUCCUUUAGGUGGUAGGUAAUGGGUGGGUAGUUUAUUGCUGGGUAGAGUUCAUACCUUAUAGACUCUGGCCUAGCCAGUGAUCUGAACCAAGGUCUCAAAUCAGGUAGGAAGACCCGCUGAACUUAA